RNAcentral lists this ribosomal RNA (253 nucleotides) under uncultured bacterium. RNAcentral's name for it is "partial 16S ribosomal RNA". It matches the Rfam family "Bacterial small subunit ribosomal RNA", at positions 524 to 776 of the family's 1533-position model. The record is from RNAcentral.
UACGAAGGGGGCUAGCGUUGCUCGGAAUUACUGGGCGUAAAGGCGCGUAGGCGGAUGUUUAAGUCAGAGGUCGAAAGCCCAGGGCUCAACCUUGGAACUGCCUUUGAUACUGGGCAUCUUGAGUAUGGGAGAGGUGAGUGGAACUCCGAGUGUAGAGGUGAAAUUCGUAGAUAUUCGGAAGAACACCAGUGGCGAAGGCGACUCACUGGCCCAUUACUGACGCUGAGGCGGCGAAAGCGUGGGAGCAAACAGG